AAAACUCCAAGAGAUACUGAUCGACAGCUUGAGGAAAUCUUGUGUAAUACCCAUUUAAUUUCUACUGAUCUAGCGUAUAUAAAUCCAUUAAAAAAAACAGAUGAUCAGUAAAUAAACGAAGCUCACUGAGCAGAAAGAUUUUAAGAAAUCAGCUCAGCUCAUCAUUAACUCAAAAACUUCCCAUUAGAUAUUUGGAGUCUCUAUUUAUCACUUGCAUCUUUCUCCUCUCAUACAAGCAAUUAAUUCAAAUGUUGUUAUUAUUAACAUACAAAAAUUAAACUUCAUACUCAACAACCACUCUUCUCUCCCCCGAAUAGAAACUGUCUGUCUCAAAGAUUUAAACUUUAUACUAAAUAAAAUGAAGGUAAGACAGAUUGCACAUGAACACUAACCCCUGUAUGCUCAGAAGAUUCCAUUGCAGCAGCAACACAAGAAAUGUGUCUCCAAAUUAAUAACCAAGCUGCAGAUAUUUGGAGCCACUAAAAAUCGCAUCAUCAGCCUAAAAACUCCUGAAAAACCAUUGCAAUAUUCCAAAGAAAUUUGUUUUCUCUUUCUUUUCUAAACUUUAACGACAACCAAAUAAAGAUCCCCAAUUUCUUCAGCAAUCAAAACCAAAAAACUCAACAUACUGUUGCCCAAUUUCGAAAACCCUACAAAUAAUGAGAUUGACUGACCAGAGAUCAUGAGAGAUCGCCGCCGGCGAGAUCUGAAGAGAAAGAUCGAGAUCGGCACUAGGACAGGGCGUUGACCACGCUCUUGAGUCUCUUCUAGCUCAGCUUCUCUUCGGUUCCCUCAUCUUCGAAAUGAGGCCCACAGGGCUGCCUUUAUUAUUAUCAGUAUUAUUUUCUUUGCCACUAUGUGGGGAUAUUUUUCUCAACAGCUUUCAAGCCAC
This 892-nucleotide long non-coding RNA is filed under the name Vitis vinifera (wine grape). Its description in RNAcentral is "long non-coding RNA (VVIN_LNC005137)". Lineage: Eukaryota; Viridiplantae; Streptophyta; Magnoliopsida; Vitales; Vitaceae. The record is from RNAcentral.